Molecule: ribosomal RNA, 488 nt
Filed under: uncultured bacterium
Lineage: Bacteria
Description: SSU rRNA
Rfam family: Bacterial small subunit ribosomal RNA
Source: RNAcentral
AGGACGAACGCUGGCGGCGUGCUUAACACAUGCAAGUCGAGCGAGAGCCAGUUGAGGGGUAACCCUCGACUGGGGACAGCGGCGAACGGGUGCGUAACACGUGGGCAACCUGCCCCUGACACUGGGAUAACCCCGGGAAACCGGAGCUAAUACCGGAUACUCUCGGCCGAUCACAUGGCUGGCCGAGGAAAGGUCCGCCGGUCAGGGAUGGGCCCGCGGCCUAUCAGCUUGUUGGUGGGGUAACGGCCUACCAAGGCGACGACGGGUAGCUGGUCUGAGAGGACGACCAGCCACACUGGAACUGAGAUACGGUCCAGACUCCUACGGGAGGCAGCAGUGGGGAAUAUUGCACAAUGGGCGAAAGCCUGAUGCAGCGACGCCGCGUGAGGGAUGAAGGCCUUCGGGUCGUAAACCUCUUUCGGCAGGGACGAAGCGAUCAGUGACGGUACCUGCAGAAGAAGCCCGGCUAACUACGUGCCAGCAGCCGC